Molecule: ribosomal RNA, 207 nt
Filed under: uncultured bacterium
Lineage: Bacteria
Description: partial 16S ribosomal RNA
Rfam family: Bacterial small subunit ribosomal RNA
Source: RNAcentral
CGCGUAGGCGGUCGAUCAAGUCGGUUGUGAAAGCCCUCGGCUCAACCGAGGAACUGCAUCCGAUACUGGUUGGCUAGAGUAUGGAAGGGGAGAGUGGAACUCCUGGUGGAGCGGUGAAAUGCGUAGAUAUCAGGAGGAACGCCGGUGGCGAAAGCGACUCUCUGGUCCACAACUGACGCUGAGGCGCGAAAGCCAGGGGAGCAAACG